This 466-nucleotide ribosomal RNA is filed under the name uncultured Corynebacterium sp. RNAcentral's name for it is "bacterial SSU rRNA". It matches the Rfam family "Bacterial small subunit ribosomal RNA", at positions 65 to 544 of the family's 1533-position model. The record is from RNAcentral. Lineage: Bacteria; Bacillati; Actinomycetota; Actinomycetes; Mycobacteriales; Corynebacteriaceae.
AACGGAAAGGCCCUGCUUGCAGGGUACUCGAGUGGCGAACGGGCGAGUAACACGUGGGUGAUCUGCCCUGCACUUCGGGAUAAGCUUGGGAAACUGGGUCUAAUACCGGAUAGGAGCCAUCUUUAGUGUGGUGGCUGGAAAGUUUUUUCGGUGUAGGAUGAGCUCGCGGCCUAUCAGCUUGUUGGUGGGGUAAUGGCCUACCAAGGCGGCGACGGGUAGCCGGCCUGAGAGGGUGUACGGCCACAUUGGGACUGAGAUACGGCCCAGACUCCUACGGGAGGCAGCAGUGGGGAAUAUUGCACAAUGGGCGCAAGCCUGAUGCAGCGACGCCGCGUGGGGGAUGAAGGCCUUCGGGUUGUAAACUCCUUUCGCUAGGGACGAAGCUUUUUUGUGACGGUACCUAGAUAAGAAGCACCGGCUAACUACGUGCCAGCAGCCGCGGUAAUACGUAGGGUGCGAGCGUUGU